AUUGAACGCUGGCGGCAUGCUUUACACAUGCAAGUCGAACGGUAACAGGGAGCUUGCUCCGCUGACGAGUGGCGAACGGGUGAGUAAUGCAUCGGAACAUGCCCAGUCAUGGGGGAUAACUACGCGAAAGCGUAGCUAAUACCGCAUACGCCCUGAGGGGGAAAGUGGGGGAUCUUAGGACCUCACGUGAUUGGAGUGGCCGAUGUCAGAUUAGCUAGUUGGUGAGGUAAAGGCUCACCAAGGCGACGAUCUGUAGCGGGUCUGAGAGGAUGAUCCGCCACACUGGGACUGAGACACGGCCCAGACUCCUACGGGAGGCAGCAGCGGGGAAUUUUGGACAAUGGGCGCAAGCCUGAUCCAGCCAUGCCGCGUGAGUGAAGAAGGCCUCGG
RNAcentral lists this ribosomal RNA (390 nucleotides) under uncultured bacterium. RNAcentral's name for it is "bacterial SSU rRNA". It matches the Rfam family "Bacterial small subunit ribosomal RNA", at positions 30 to 420 of the family's 1533-position model. The record is from RNAcentral.